AAUCCGCCGGAAGGAGGGCGCAGCAUUGCCGGUCUUCUCAUUGCCUGGCUGCUAGAGGAAACCCGAAGUCGGGAUUCUUUCUUUCCUGCUCUGAGAGGGACCAGGUCCCUCCUCCGUAGCUUUUGUCUCUCUAUUGCCUGCGCCGUGUCCUGGACUGCUCACGGGAGUUCUGCAGGAGACGCCGGAAUAUCUGGAAGCUGAAAAAUGGAAAUAAAUGGAAAGACCAGAAUAUUGAAGAUCACUACAGAAAUCUAAGGGUCAGGCAUGGUGGCUCACACCUGUAAUCCCAGCACUUUGGGAAGCAGAGGCAGUUGGAUCACUUGAACCUGGGAGGCGUUCUGGAGGUCAGGAGUUCGAGACCAGCUUGGCCAACAUGGUGAAACCCUGUGUCUGCUAAAAAUACAAAAAUUAGCCGGGCCUCAUGGCACAUGCCUGUAAUCCCAGCUACUCUGGAGGCUGAAGCAGGAGAAUCGCUUGAACCUGGGAGGCGGAGGUUGCAGUGAGCCGAGAUCACGCCACUGCUUCUUGCUUUAAAAGAAGAGUAAAGACAAGAGUGUUGGACCAGUAUUGCAGUUCUGUAGUAUCAUUUCUUAUAAAAAACAAAACAACAAUAAUUUAUCAAAAUUGGCAUAUAAAGACUGACAACAUUCUAAUAAAGGCACAAAUUUCUUUUUAA
RNAcentral lists this long non-coding RNA (676 nucleotides) under Homo sapiens (human). Its description in RNAcentral is "non-protein coding ZNF433-AS1:4". Lineage: Eukaryota; Metazoa; Chordata; Mammalia; Primates; Hominidae. The record is from RNAcentral.